ACCACCAGCUGCUCUUCUCUGUGACAUGUCUGCUUUCUGCCUUCAUGCUGCUGACGAGGAACUGCAACAGCAAUCUUCAUCUGUUGGAGUCGUGCACCGACGCGGGUUCCUCUGAUUUUUAGGACGACGUCGAGAGUGCGCAGCAAUUAUUGGAUGUUGGAAGCACACAAGCUGCCCCUCCAGGCCGGCGUCAGGCAUUUAGAUCUGAUGCAGCCGAACAGCAGGAAGCAACGGCUCCUCCAGAGCAAUAAUUGCUCGGUCGUUUAUCUGCAAGUCAACAGCCGCAAAAAUGCCAUGAAUUAAACAUUUUUCCCCUCCUCC
Poecilia latipinna (sailfin molly) is the source of this 321-nucleotide long non-coding RNA. RefSeq lists it as uncharacterized. The record is from RefSeq and is a predicted model, not a curated record. Lineage: Eukaryota; Metazoa; Chordata; Actinopteri; Cyprinodontiformes; Poeciliidae. The transcript has 2 exons.